UGGUCAAGUUAUUAAGGGUGCAGGGCGGAUGCCUUGGCACUAGGAGCCGAUGAAGGACGUGAUAAGCUGCGAUAAGCUUCGGGGAGUUGCACGUAAACUUGAU
Molecule: ribosomal RNA, 103 nt
Filed under: Clostridioides difficile
Lineage: Bacteria; Bacillati; Bacillota; Clostridia; Peptostreptococcales; Peptostreptococcaceae
Description: partial 23S ribosomal RNA
Rfam family: Bacterial large subunit ribosomal RNA
Source: RNAcentral